UGAAUGGUGAAGGUGUGGGUUUCAGUCC
This 28-nucleotide non-coding RNA is filed under the name Homo sapiens (human). Lineage: Eukaryota; Metazoa; Chordata; Mammalia; Primates; Hominidae. The record is from RNAcentral.